This 2441-nucleotide unclassified non-coding RNA is filed under the name Eurytemora carolleeae. RNAcentral describes it as "sorting nexin-27". The record is from RNAcentral. Lineage: Eukaryota; Metazoa; Arthropoda; Copepoda; Calanoida; Temoridae.
UUAUUUAUAUUAAAUAUGUUUAAAUCAGUGUUUAAUAUGUGUGAGGUGGAGGCGUAUGGAGGACAAAGAAAACGUAUUCUGGAACCUCAUGUUGUCACGGUCGUUAAAACUGAUACAGGGUUUGGUUUCAAUGUUCGGGGACAGGUGAGUGAAGGUGGGAACCUGAAAUCUAUAAACGGCGAGCUCUACGCCCCUCUUCAACACAUCUCGGCGAUUCUACCUGGUGGAGCGGCGGAAACGGCGGGUAUAUUCCGGGGGGAUAGAAUUCUAGAGGUGAAUGGAGUUAGUGUUGAGGGAUCAACUCACAAACAGGUUGUUGAACUGAUAAAGUCCGGAGGGGAUUCUCUGACACUGACUGUUAUUUCACUUCCCUCCGGAGACGUGGAGAGACUUGAACCUCCGGAGACUAUUCCGGUUCAUUUCUUGGACUACUCGGAGAAACGAUCUUUACCUAUAACUAUUCCCGACUACAAACAUCUGGAGGAUCUUGGAGAAAAAUUUGUUGUUUAUAAUAUUUACAUUGCUGGCAGACAUCUUUGUUCUCGCAGAUACCGCGAGUUUGUGGAUCUUCACAACUGUCUGAAGAACGAGUUUAUUGGGUUUAAUUUCCCCCGACUCCCGGGGAAAUGGCCGUUUUCGUUGAGUGAGCAGCAACUUGAUUCCAGGAGACGAGGUUUAGAAAUCUACUUGGAGCGGGUUUGCGCAGUUCGAGUUAUUGCUGAGAGUGAAACCCUGCAGGACUUCUUGACUGAGCAUGAAGACGAAAUUUCUUCGUCUCCCCUAGUGGACAUCAAGAUAAUCAUACUGGACGAGCAGGUUAUAUCCGUCAAGGCAAAGCGGAAUUCAACUGCUGAUGAGGUUUUCAGGAUGGUUGCUCAGAAGAUCGGUCUGUUCCCGGAGAACUGGGAGUUCUUCUUCCUCUUUGAGAUUGUGGAGCAUAACUUUGAGCGUCGAGUUCAACCCACGGAGUUUCCGCAUUCUCUGUACAUAGCAAAUUACAGUACUGCAACAGCAACAUGCUUGUCCUUUAGAAAAUGGUUGUUCCAUCCUAGAGUAGAAGUUGAACUGGAGAGUGAUCCUGUUGCAUUGAAAAUUUUGUUUUACCAGGCGGUGGCCGAGGUGAACCAAGGUUGUAUUAACACUAAGGACAGGUUGCAUCAGUUGAAGGCUCUCCAGGACGGAGAGAAGAUGAAGGAGUAUCUUGCCACUGUGAGACAGAUGGAGGGAUACGGAGGAGUUGUGUUCCCGCACUGUUCCUCUGACGCCCGGAGAGAAGGUCAUGUUGUUCCUGUUGUUACUUUCGAGGCUCUCCGCCUACAGGCUUGUAAAGAGGACGGAGAACUGGAGGAUCAGAUCAUAGAAUUCGCCUGGGAGACGAUUACUCAGUUCGAGGCGGAGGAAAAUGGGCCCAGCUUCCAGUUUCAUUACAGGAGAGAAGGUAAACCUGACAGGAUUGUUCGAAUCUUCUCACACUACUAUAUUCAUCUAUUUGAGUGCUUUGAGAAGAUCCAAGAAGAAAUAGGUUGGAGCAGACAGUUAGAAAACCAGUCUCUUUAGGUAGAUAGAGGUCAUUUAGGUAGCUGAAAGAUCUCUAGACAGCUGAAGGUCUUUUAGAAAACUGAUGUAAUCCUCCGGUUGAAAAGUCUGAUAUUUAUGAAUUAAAAAAGAGCUAUUUGAGUGAGCAGUUUUAAAACCUUAGAAAUAAAUUCUUGUUAUCUCUCCGUACCCCUUACUUUUUUGGAUUUCCAAAUCAUGGCUACAACCUAUAUAUAACAAACAAAUUUACGAGGUUUAUCUGUAAUAUUUAUUUAUGUAACUGCUGAUCAUGAAAACCAAAUAUUCUGAAGUAUUGUAAUGUAUUUAAUCUAGACUCUGUUGUUAACCCCUCUAAAGAUAUUUAAAUGUAAGUAAAUGACAAGACAUGAUCUACAUUAUCAUCACCAAGGAUAGCAACAUUCAUUAUUUUAUUUGACUUUUUUCUUUAUUUGAUAUUUUAAUGAUCUCAUUAUUUCUGACACAAAACUUUUAACUAUAAUCCUCACUCGUUAUUGUGAUAGAUAGCAUUUUAUUUCUGUGUUAAAGAGUUUAUUAUUAGAUAUUUUAUUCCAUGUUAGCCAUAAUAUUUCUCAGAGUUUUAACCUACGUUGUAUUACAAACAAACCUGUUCAAAUGUUCAAUGCAAUACCUAAACACCCGACAGUCAAAAACAAAUAGUUAUUCUAGAAAUUGUUCACGUAAGGAAUAUGCAAUUAACCGGAAAUCAAACUAAAGAAAGAAAGAAAGCUAAUAGAAUAUGUUUAUUAUGUUUUCGUAACAAUCCCUUAGUGUACACUGUACACAAUACAAUGCACUAUGUACAACGGACACAUUGAUAAAAUAUGUAAUCCUAGUUAGAUCUUCGUGACACUAGAUGUCUCUGUAUUGUAAUCAUUAAUUGCAGA